ACCCGUUUUCGAAAUUGUAAAAGGGCGGCUUCAAAGGUGCAAUACUUAAACCCUUCUUAUGGAAAAAAUGAAAUUUUGCAUUUUUCCCAAUUCGCAUUGGUAGAACCCUACGCCCCAAAAUCGUCUCCAAUCGGCUGAAAGACUGUAGUAGAGGUUCGUAAAUCAGAAAGCGCCAGCGUAUAAUAAUUGUCAAUGACAAGGAAGAGCAAGGGUGUUUGUCGUAGCAGUAGGAAGUCGGGGCAUUGGAUGUCUGACUGCCCGACGAAACGACAAUGCCCAGGCUGUUUUUUAGGCAUUGUCAAGUGUAUGGAAGUGGAGAAAAAAUCGUAAACUUCGGUUGAUUAUUAUGUUGUAGCAGAGACUGUGGUUAUUAUAGGUGGGCGCGGUCAUCCAGCCAUUGAAGAAGAACCCCCCCGUGUCUUGAAGGAGCAUCGAGCGUAGAUCAGAUUGCAGACUUGUCACGCAUGUUACAGAGUGUCGCUCACAUAGCCUAUCGGAAGGACACAAUGAUCUCCGUUAAUGUGACUAUUUGCAUUGGUAAAGGAGAUACAGAAGUCGAUGGAAAGGAAAGGAAAAAAUGCCGUGAAUUUUAGUCGAAUAUGUAAUGAAAUUAAUGGCCUGUAUUGUAGUUAGCCGAAUUUGUGGCCAAGCAAAUCUGUGUCUUGAUAGUGCAGGAAUUCUUGCCAAACUUUGUAUGAAUUUUAUUAUCAGAACUUCCUAUUUUAGCUUACUUGGAUUUUCAAGUCUUUUUUAUUGGUAUAAACUAUGUUUGAAUCA
Molecule: long non-coding RNA, 777 nt
Organism: Olea europaea var. sylvestris
Lineage: Eukaryota; Viridiplantae; Streptophyta; Magnoliopsida; Lamiales; Oleaceae
Exons: 2
Source: RefSeq, a predicted model, not a curated record